AUUGAACGCUGGCGGCAUGCCUUACACAUGCAAGUCGAACGGUAACAGGUCUUCGGAUGCUGACGAGUGGCGAACGGGUGAGUAAUACAUCGGAACGUGCCCGAUCGUGGGGGAUAACGGAGCGAAAGCUUUGCUAAUACCGCAUACGAUCUACGGAUGAAAGCAGGGGACCGCAAGGCCUUGCGCGGACGGAGCGGCCGAUGGCAGAUUAGGUAGUUGGUGGGAUAAAAGCUUACCAAGCCGACGAUCUGUAGCUGGUCUGAGAGGACGACCAGCCACACUGGGACUGAGACACGGCCCAGACUCCUACGGGAGGCAGCAGUGGGGAAUUUUGGACAAUGGGCGAAAGCCUGAUCCAGCCAUGCCGCGUGCAGGAUGAAGGCCUUCGGGUUGUAAACUGCUUUUGUACGGAACGAAAAGACUCUUUCUAAUAAAGAGGGUCCAUGACGGUACCGUAAGAAUAAGCACCGGCUAACUACGUGC
RNAcentral lists this ribosomal RNA (483 nucleotides) under uncultured bacterium. Its description in RNAcentral is "partial 16S ribosomal RNA". It matches the Rfam family "Bacterial small subunit ribosomal RNA", at positions 30 to 508 of the family's 1533-position model. The record is from RNAcentral.